AUGGGAUGGAAAGGGUCAAGCAGAGGCAGCUCUGCCUCUUCUAGUUGUGCCAUCACCUCUGAGAUCACAGAAAUCUGGUUCCAGAACUGCCCAAAGAGUGCAGAUCCCAGAGCUCCAGCACUGCCAGCACACAGCUGUCCUAAGAUUUCCCUGUACAAAAUCAGCUUAAGGAGACUUGAGAAUUCAAACCUUCUGGUUUGCAGAGCAGUGUGGAUGAGGAGGGGGAAGCUUCUUUGUUUUCCCACUUCAUGACUACGCAGCUUUUUAUUUCCUUUUGAGCCAUGGAUGUGUAAUCAGUGACUGUCAUCAUGUGCUCCACAAAAGCUAUCACAGCACCGUUAUCCACCUUCACAACCCUCAUUUGAGAAAUCUGCAAUAACAAUUCCAGUAAUGAAAGGCAUUUGCAUACUGUUAAUGUAAGUCUAAUGCUUACAAGCUCUGCAGAAUAUUAAUCAUCUUGAUUUUCUGAGAGGUCAUAGGGAAAGUAAAUCAAGACAUGAUUUAAUUUAUGGUGAUGAGCCACUUAAAUUGCGUAUGUUUGGAGAGGGGGGAGGCAAAGAGGGAAAUCUGGGUAGGUUUGGAAGAAGCUUUGAAAUGUCCAUACAAACAUUUAAAAACAACUUAGGUAAAUACAAUUA
RNAcentral lists this long non-coding RNA (638 nucleotides) under Phasianus colchicus (ring-necked pheasant). RNAcentral describes it as "lncRNA (ENSPCLG00000000246.1)". The record is from RNAcentral. Lineage: Eukaryota; Metazoa; Chordata; Aves; Galliformes; Phasianidae.